Molecule: ribosomal RNA, 494 nt
Filed under: uncultured bacterium
Lineage: Bacteria
Description: bacterial SSU rRNA
Rfam family: Bacterial small subunit ribosomal RNA
Source: RNAcentral
AUCCUGGCUCAGAUUGAACGCUGGCGGCAUGCUUUACACAUGCAAGUCGAACGGGCUUGGGGGCUUGCUCCCAAGUUAGUGGCGAACGGGUGAGUAAUACAUCGGAACGUACCGUGUAGUGGGGGAUAACGUAGCGAAAGUUACGCUAAUACCGCAUACGAUCUACGGAUGAAAGCAGGGGACCUUCGGGCCUUGUGCUAUACGAGCGGCCGAUGUCUGAUUAGCUAGUUGGUGAGGUAAAGGCACACCAAGGCGACGAUCAGUAGCGGGUCUGAGAGGAUGAUCCGCCACACUGGGACUGAGACACGGCCCAGACUCCUACGGGAGGCAGCAGUGGGGAAUUUUGGACAAUGGGCGAAAGCCUGAUCCAGCCAUGCCGCGUGUCUGAAGAAGGCCUUCGGGUUGUAAAGGACUUUUGUCAGGGAGCAAAACUUACUGGUUAAUACCCGGUGAGGCUGAGAGUACCUGAAGAAUAAGCACCGGCUAACUACGUG